This 708-nucleotide ribosomal RNA is filed under the name uncultured Alphaproteobacteria bacterium. RNAcentral's name for it is "bacterial SSU rRNA". It matches the Rfam family "Bacterial small subunit ribosomal RNA", at positions 38 to 792 of the family's 1533-position model. The record is from RNAcentral. Lineage: Bacteria; Pseudomonadati; Pseudomonadota; Alphaproteobacteria.
GGCGGCACGCUUAACACAUGCAAGUCGAACGAGAUCUUCGGAUCUAGUGGCAGACGGGUGCGUAACGCGUGGGAACCUGCCCUUUAGUAAGGAAUAACUCAGGGAAACUUGUGCUAAUACCUUAUAAUCCCUUCGGGGGAAAGCUUUAUGCGCUAAUGGAUGGGCCCGCGUUAGAUUAGCUUGUUGGUGAGGUAAUGGCUCACCAAGGCUACGAUCUAUAGCUGGUCUGAGAGGAUGAUCAGCCACACUGGGACUGAGACACGGCCCAGACUCCUACGGGAGGCAGCAGUGGGGAAUAUUGGACAAUGGGGGCAACCCUGAUCCAGCGAUGCCGCGUGAGUGAUGAAGGCCCUAGGGUUGUAAAACUCUUUCGCCAGGGAAGAUAAUGACGGUACCUGGUAAAGAAGAUCCGGCUAACUCCGUGCCAGCAGCCGCGGUAAUACGGAGGGAUCUAGCGUUAUUCGGAAUAACUGGGCGUAAAGCGAGCGUAGGCGGAUUUGUAAGUUGGAGGUGAAAUCCCAGGGCUUAACCCUGGAACUGCCUUCAAAACUACAUUUCUUGAGUUUGGUAGAGGAGAGUGGAAUUCUUAGUGUAGAGGUGAAAUUCGUAGAUAUUAGGAGGAACACCAGUGGCGAAGGCGACUCUCUGGGCCAUACUGACGCUGAGGUUCGAAAGCGUGGGGAGCGAACGGGAUUAGAUACCCCGGUA